UUAUAACUUUCAGCAACGGAUCUCUUGGCUCUCGCAUCGAUGAAGAACGCAGCGAAUUGCGAUAUGUAAUGUGAAUUGCAGAUUUUCAGUGAAUCAUCGAAUCUUUGAACGCACCUUGCGCUCCUUGGUAUUCCGAGGAGCAUGCCUGUUUGAGUGUC
Molecule: ribosomal RNA, 158 nt
Filed under: Coniophora arida
Lineage: Eukaryota; Fungi; Basidiomycota; Agaricomycetes; Boletales; Coniophoraceae
Also listed under: 3 other names
Description: 5.8S ribosomal RNA
Rfam family: 5.8S ribosomal RNA
About the family: 5.8S ribosomal RNA (5.8S rRNA) is a component of the large subunit of the eukaryotic ribosome. It is transcribed by RNA polymerase I as part of the 45S precursor that also contains 18S and 28S rRNA.
Source: RNAcentral